RNAcentral lists this ribosomal RNA (420 nucleotides) under bacterium. RNAcentral describes it as "partial 16S ribosomal RNA". It matches the Rfam family "Bacterial small subunit ribosomal RNA", at positions 355 to 776 of the family's 1533-position model. The record is from RNAcentral.
UGGGGGAUAUUGCACAAUGGGCGAAAGCCUGAUGCAGCGACGCCGCGUGGGGGAUGAAGGCUUUCGGGUUGUAAACCUCUUUCGCUAUCGAACAAGGCCCGCUUAGGGUGGGUUGAGGGUAGGUGGAGAAGAAGCGCCGGCUAACUACGUGCCAGCAGCCGCGGUAAUACGUAGGGCGCGAGCGUUGUCCGGAAUUAUUGGGCGUAAAGGGCUUGUAGGCGGCUUGUUGCGCCUGCUGUGAAAACGCGGGGCUUAACUUCGCGCGUGCAGUGGGUACGGGAAGGCUGGAGUGUGGGAGGGGUGACUGGAAUUCCAGGUGUAGCGGUGGAAUGCGCAGAUAUCUGGAGGAACACCGAUGGCGAAGGCAGGUCACUGGGCCAUUACUGACGCUGAGGAGCGAAAGCAUGGGUAGCGAACAGG